GACGAACGCUGGCGGCGUGCUUAACACAUGCAAGUCGAGCGGUAAGGCCCUUUCGGGGGUACACGAGCGGCGAACGGGUGAGUAACACGUGGGUGACCUGCCUUUAGCUCUGGGAUAAGCCUGGGAAACUGGGUCUAAUACCGGAUAUGACUCCGCGGUGCAUGCUGUGGGGUGGAAAGCCUUGUGCGGCUGGAGAUGGGCCCGCGGCCUAUCAGCUUGUUGGUGGGGUGAUGGCCUACCAAGGCGACGACGGGUAGCCGGCCUGAGAGGGCGACCGGCCACACUGGGACUGAGACACGGCCCAGGCUCCUACGGGAGGCAGCAGUGGGGAAUCUUGCGCAAUGGGCGAAAGCCUGACGCAGCGACGCCGCGUGAGGGAUGACGGCC
This 387-nucleotide ribosomal RNA is filed under the name uncultured bacterium. RNAcentral describes it as "bacterial SSU rRNA". It matches the Rfam family "Bacterial small subunit ribosomal RNA", at positions 28 to 416 of the family's 1533-position model. The record is from RNAcentral.